UACGUAGGGGGCAAGCGUUGUCCGGAAUCAUUGGGCGUAAAGAGCGUGUAGGCGGCUCGGUAAGUCCGCUGUGAAAAGUCCAGGGCUCAACCCUGGAAUGCCGGUGGAAACUGUCGAGCUAGAGUCCGGAAGAGGCGAGUGGAAUUCCUGGUGUAGCGGUGAAAUGCGCAGAUAUCAGGAGGAACACCAAUGGCGAAGGCAGCUCGCUGGGACGGUACUGACGCUGAG
RNAcentral lists this ribosomal RNA (228 nucleotides) under uncultured bacterium. Its description in RNAcentral is "partial 16S ribosomal RNA". It matches the Rfam family "Bacterial small subunit ribosomal RNA", at positions 524 to 750 of the family's 1533-position model. The record is from RNAcentral.